Molecule: non-coding RNA, 79 nt
Organism: Datura stramonium (jimsonweed)
Lineage: Eukaryota; Viridiplantae; Streptophyta; Magnoliopsida; Solanales; Solanaceae
Source: the annotation of a GenBank genome assembly
UCCUCAGUAGCUUAGUGGUAGAGCGGUCGACUGUUAACCGAUUGGUCAUAGGUUCGAAUCCUAAAUGCCACUUAUGGAA